This 31-nucleotide non-coding RNA is filed under the name Mus musculus (house mouse). The record is from RNAcentral. Lineage: Eukaryota; Metazoa; Chordata; Mammalia; Rodentia; Muridae.
UGAAAAGCUACCUUAGCAUAUUAUUUACAGG